Sinocyclocheilus anshuiensis is the source of this 459-nucleotide long non-coding RNA. RefSeq lists it as uncharacterized. Lineage: Eukaryota; Metazoa; Chordata; Actinopteri; Cypriniformes; Cyprinidae. The record is from RefSeq and is a predicted model, not a curated record. The transcript is spliced from 2 exons.
CCCCGCUUCGUCAAACAGGACCAGGUGUGCAUUGCUCGUCUUAGAACAGCUGGGACCAUCUGCCUUGAGACCUUCAAAGAUUUCCCUCAAAUGGGACGUUUCACCUUACGAGAUGAAGGGAAGACCAUUGCCAUUGGAAAAGUGUUGAAACUUGUUGCCGAGAAGGACUGAAAAGAAUGAUUGGUGCUUCAGCCGCAGCACACUUCAUAGCCCUCCUGUCCUUUCUCCUCUCUGCCUCCCGAAGACCAGCUUAAAAAAAACUUAUCUUAAAGAAAUCUGUUUUUAAGCAAAUGAAAAUGAAAUCAAGUCCACAUGUCAGCUUUCUCAUAUUGAGAGCUCAGCGAUGCCAUUGUUUUAGGUUCUCCCCCAUGACCUGUUCUUCGUCAAUCGCACACGUUUAAUGGCAAGAGAUCUAGCUCUCUUCCAAACUUUUUAUUUUUAUAAUUUUUCUUUUUGCUU